RNAcentral lists this long non-coding RNA (1026 nucleotides) under Salmo trutta (river trout). RNAcentral's name for it is "lncRNA (ENSSTUG00000039491.1)". The record is from RNAcentral. Lineage: Eukaryota; Metazoa; Chordata; Actinopteri; Salmoniformes; Salmonidae.
AUGAGAGGGACAGUGAGAAGGGAGAAGGGAGGGAGAGGGGAGGGAGAGGAAGGGGAGAGGGAGAAGGGAGAGGGGAGAAGGGAGAGGGAGAAGGGGGGAGGGAGAAGGGGAGAGGGGAAGGGGGAGGGAGAAGGGGAGAGGGAGAAGGGGAGAGGGAGAAGGGGAGAGGGAGAAGGGGAGAGGGAGAAGGGGAGAGGGAGAAGGGGAGAGGGAGAGGGGAGAGGGAGAGGGAGAAGGGAGAAGGGAGAGGGAGAGGGAAGGAGAAGGGAGGGAGAAGGGAGAGGGAGAGGGAGAAGGGGAGAGGGAGAGGGGAGAAGGGAGAGGGAGAAGGGAGAGGGAGAGGGAGAGGGAGAGGGGAGAGGGAGAAGGGAGAGGGAGAAGGGGAGAAGGGAGAGGGAGAAGGGGAGAGGGAGAGGGGAGAAGGGAGAGGGAGAAGGGAGAAGGGAGAGGGAGAAGGGGAGAGGGAGAGGGGAGAAGGGAGAAGGGAGAGGAGAGGGAGAGGGGAGAAGGGAGAGGGAGAGGGAGAAGGGGAGAGGGAGAAGGGAGAAGGGGAGAAGGGAGAGGGAGAAGGGGAGAGGGAGAGGGGAGAAGGGAGAAGGGAGAAGGGAGAGGGAGAGGGAGAGGGAGAAGGGAGAGGGAGAAGGGAGGAGGAGAAGGGGAGAGGGAGAAGGGGAGAGGGAGAAGGGGAGAGGGAGAGGGGAGAAGGGAGAGGGAGAAGGGGAGGGGAGAGGGGAGAAGGAGAGGGGAGAAGGGAGAGGGAGAGGGAGAGGGAGAGGGAGAAGGGAGAGGGAGAAGGGGAGAGGGAGAAGGGAGAAGGGAGAGGGAGAAGGGAGAGGGAGAAGGGAGAAGGGAGAGGGAGAAGGGAGAGGGAGAAGGGAGAGGGAGAAGGGGAGAGGGAGAGGGAGAAGGGAGAGGGAGAAGGGAGAGGGAGAAGGGGAGAGGGAGAAGGGGAGAAGGGAGAGGGAGAAGGGAGAGGGAGAGAUGGUCAUUUCAAAAGAAACCUUGACAAGUUACAACCGGUAUUAA